AAUUAUUUAAUUAUUUUUAUUUUUAAUUCCACAUAACAAAACCUUGAAAGCCUUUGAGUACAGAAAUGACAAUAUCCAACAGAACUAAUAAGCUCUUAAUCUCAACAACCAUUGAGUGGAUUCUUAUAGAUGCCAAACAGCUGCAGGAGGGCUCAAUUAUCAGGGCCAGCCCGGUGAUGAUCGACUUGUGUUGGGGCGGUGGUCCCCUUUUGCUUGACUCCGUCAACAGAGCACUUUUGACCCUUGGUAUUCACUUGGCUUGGACGCUCUCCUACAAUUAAUUGGACUGCACUACGCUGGUGGUACAAAUAACUUGCAACCACCGAUUAAAUCUACACUAGGCUAUGGAAUGACAGAAUCUAGUUGAGAGCACCACGUAGCACACCGCCGAUGUGCUCGCUGAUUCUAGCUCCAACCACCAAACAGCGAAUACAAUUUCACCUUGUCCAAACUGGGAGACUCACCAAUAUUACUCCAAGUUGACUUCUUGCAAAGUAACAAGUCCCAUGUGAAUGUUGGAUGAUAACUCCCAACUAGCAAGGACAACUACCGUAGUAUGGUUCACCGUGCAAAUACAAGGAAAAAAACAUAUAGAGCUACAAGAAUGGGGUGAAUCUAACAUAGUGCUUUGGCAACCACGUGAUGGUAGAGAUAGAGAAUUUGAGUAGCCUAGUUACGUGGACCUAGGUAGGCGAUGUAGAGCAGCAAUCAAAACGUGGACUUCCGCUAUAGCAUCUAUGGUUGCAGCAAAACCGCCUGAAGCGUCUUCAGUCAUCACACAAUGUGCCUGAUGGUAAAAAAAACAAAACAAAACAAAACAAAAAACAAAAAAAAACAAAUAGCACGACACUAGUAUUCGGCAACGCGGCAACAACACUGAUUCCGUCGACCGCCACUACAAUGCCGCAGGAGCAAACAUGAGGAAACAAUGAUGCAUGGGAAGAGCCUCCUCCUUGCUAAAUGAGCAAUCGCCUAUGCAAGACCACCUUGAUGAGGGCCAGCACCACCAAUGCCAACAAUUCAACCGCAAGAACUCGGCAUUGACCAGUCAGCCCUUGACAGCAACAUAGCCAUAGAGCAUCAACCUCCGAACCACAGCACCCACCGCAACAGAUGUAGGAAAAGGUAGCGUAGCCACCAUUAACCGCUGAGAACAUGCGGUGUAGCAAUGCACGGAGCCCAACCAAAACCGAACCCAGAACAAGAACCACAACCAGUUUGGAAGAACAAAAUAAAAGAAUAGCGUAGACGAAACCGUAGCCGUGCAAGCAUAUGCUAAGGGAACCACAAUGUAACCAAUCUGCCCAAAAUAAAUUGAGAGUCCACAACAAACAAGCAUCGAUACUAGGAUAGCAACAAAACGUGAAUAAUCGUAGACCACAACAUUGCCUUCCGCUUGAACCACUUCACCACUUCACCACUUGACUUCGCCAAGUUGCAAGUACUAACCAAGCUCUAAACGUUACUGCAACUCCGCAGCAUAACGAAAACUCAGCCAGCCUCCAACCACAGCACCAAAAUCCGCGGAGCUCCUGGUCCGCGAGAGAAGAAAAAUGAGAGAGACACGAAUUCAAAGUCCAAGCCGGA
RNAcentral lists this long non-coding RNA (1587 nucleotides) under Physcomitrium patens. Its description in RNAcentral is "long non-coding RNA (PPAT_LNC013936)". The record is from RNAcentral. Lineage: Eukaryota; Viridiplantae; Streptophyta; Bryopsida; Funariales; Funariaceae.